Molecule: ribosomal RNA, 817 nt
Filed under: uncultured Thermus sp.
Lineage: Bacteria; Thermotogati; Deinococcota; Deinococci; Thermales; Thermaceae
Description: bacterial SSU rRNA
Rfam family: Bacterial small subunit ribosomal RNA
Source: RNAcentral
CCCGCAAGGGAAAGUGGCGGAAGGGUGAGUAAUGCGAUCCUAUGUACCCCGAGGUGGGGGAUAGCGGUGGGAAACUGCCGGUAAUACCCCAUGUUCUCGCAAGAGCAAAGGUUUACCGCCUUGGGAGCAGGGAUCGUCCUAUCAGGUAGUUGGCGGGGUAAUGGCCCACCAAGCCGAAGACGGGUAGCCGGUAUGAGAGUACGGCCGGCCACAUCGGGACUGAGACACUGCCCGGACUCCUACGGGAGGCUGCAGUAACGAAUAUUCCGCAAUGGACGAAAGUCUGACGGAGCAAUGCCGCGUGUGGGAUGAAGCGGCUUCGCCGUGUAAACCACUGUCAGAGAGUAGAAACACUGAUCGCUCUCAGAGGAAGGGGCGGCUAACCCUGUGCCAGCAGCCGCGGUAAUACAGGGGCCCCAAGCGUUAAUCGGAAUUACUGGGCUUAAAGGGUGCGUAGGCGGCUCCGUAAGUGCUCUGUGAAAGCCCUCGGCUCAACCGAGGAACAGCAGGGCAUACUGCGGAGCUUGAGGAAGGUAGAGGCCGUUGGAACGCUCGGUGGAGCGGUGGAAUGCGUAGAGAUCGAGCGGAACGCCAAAAGUGAAGACAGACGGCUGGGCCUUUCCUGACGCUGAGGCACGAAAGCGUGGGGAGCAAACCGGAUUAGAUACCCGGGUAGUCCACGCCCUAAACGAUGUAUGCUAGAUCGGCCAGGCUCUGACGUCUGGCUGGUCGGAGAGAAAUUGUUAAGCAUACCGCCUGGGGAGUACGGUCGCAAGGCUAAAACUCAAAGGAAUUGACGGGGGCUCACACAAGCGGU